Molecule: ribosomal RNA, 361 nt
Filed under: uncultured soil bacterium
Lineage: Bacteria
Description: bacterial SSU rRNA
Rfam family: Bacterial small subunit ribosomal RNA
Source: RNAcentral
GGAUUGAACGCUGGCGGCAGGCCUAACACAUGCAAGUCGAGCGGUAGAGAGGUGCUUGCACCUCUUGAGAGCGGCGGACGGGUGAGUAAUGCCUAGGAAUCUGCCUAGUGGUGGGGGAUAACGUUCGGAAACGGACGCUAAUACCGCAUACGUCCUACGGGAGAAAGCGGGGGACCUUCGGGCCUCGCGCCAUUAGAUGAGCCUAGGUCGGAUUUAGCUAGUUGGUGAGGUAAUGGCUCACCAAGGCGACGAUCCGUAACUGGUCUGAGAGGAUGAUCAGUCACACUGGACUGAGCACGGUCCAGCUCCGUAGGAGGCAGCAGGUAGGGAAUAGUAGGACUAAGUCGGGGACGUAAAGCCC